Molecule: ribosomal RNA, 270 nt
Filed under: uncultured archaeon
Lineage: Archaea
Description: partial 16S ribosomal RNA
Rfam family: Archaeal small subunit ribosomal RNA
Source: RNAcentral
CAGCACCUCAAGUGGUCAGGAUGAUUAUUGGGCCUAAAGCAUCCGUAGCCGGCUCUGUAAGUUUUCGGUUAAAUCUGUACGCUCAACGUACAGGCUGCCGGGAAUACUGCAGAGCUAGGGAGUGGGAGAGGUAGACGGUACUCGGUGGGAAGGGGUAAAAUCCUUUGAUCUAUUGAUGACCACCUGUGGCGAAGGCGGUCUACCAGAACACGUCCGACGGUGAGGGAUGAAAGCUGGGGGAGCAAACCGGAUUAGAUACCCGAGUAGUCC